UACGUAGGUCCCGAGCGUUGUCCGGAUUUAUUGGGCGUAAAGCGAGCGCAGGUGGUUUAUUAAGUCUGGUGUAAAAGGCAGUGGCUCAACCAUUGUAUGCAUUGGAAACUGGUAGACUUGAGUGCGGGAGAGGAGAGUGGAAUUCCAUGUGUAGCGGUGAAAUGCGUAGAUAUAUGGAGGAACACCGGUAGCGAAAGCGGCUCUCUGGCCUGUAACUGACACUGAGGCUCGAAAGCGUGGGGAGCAAACAGG
Molecule: ribosomal RNA, 252 nt
Filed under: uncultured bacterium
Lineage: Bacteria
Description: partial 16S ribosomal RNA
Rfam family: Bacterial small subunit ribosomal RNA
Source: RNAcentral